RNAcentral lists this ribosomal RNA (253 nucleotides) under uncultured bacterium. RNAcentral's name for it is "partial 16S ribosomal RNA". It matches the Rfam family "Bacterial small subunit ribosomal RNA", at positions 524 to 776 of the family's 1533-position model. The record is from RNAcentral.
UACGUAGGGGGCGAGCGUUGUCCGGAAUUAUUGGGCGUAAAGAGCGUGUAGGCGGUUCGGUAAGUCUGUCGUGAAAUCCUGGGGCUCAACCUCGGGCGUGCGAUGGAUACUGCCGGGCUAGAGGGUGGUAGAGGCGAGUGGAAUUCCUGGUGUAGCGGUGAAAUGCGCAGAUAUCAGGAGGAACACCAAUUGCGAAGGCAGCUCGCUGGGACGUUACUGACGCUGAGACGCGAAAGCGUGGGGAGCAAACAGG